CCUACGGGAGACAGCAGUGAGGAAUAUUGGUCAAUGGGCGAAAGCCUGAACCAGCCAAGUAGCGUGAAGGAUGACGGCCCUACGGGUUGUAAACUGCUUUUAUAGGGGAAUAAAGUGACUGACGUGUAGGAGUUUGCAUGUACUGUCUGAAUAAGGACCGGCUAACUCCGUGCCAGCAGCCGCGGUAAUACGGAAGUUCCGGGCGUUAUCCGGAUUUACUGGGUUUAAAGGGAGCGUAGGUGGGAUGUCAAGUCAGCUGUGAAAGAUUCGGGCUCAACCUGGAAAUUGCAGUUGAAACUGGCGUUCUUGAGUGCAGGUGAGGUAGGCGGAAUUCGUGGUGUAGCGGUGAAAUGCUUAGAUAUGACGAAGAACACCGAUUGCGAAGGCAGCUUACUGAACUGGAACUGACGCUGAUGCUCGAAAGUGUGGGUAGCAAACAGGAUUAGAUACCCCUGUAGUC
This 460-nucleotide ribosomal RNA is filed under the name uncultured bacterium. RNAcentral's name for it is "partial 16S ribosomal RNA". It matches the Rfam family "Bacterial small subunit ribosomal RNA", at positions 338 to 795 of the family's 1533-position model. The record is from RNAcentral.